Long non-coding RNA from Cyprinodon variegatus (sheepshead minnow), 1193 nucleotides. RefSeq lists it as uncharacterized. Lineage: Eukaryota; Metazoa; Chordata; Actinopteri; Cyprinodontiformes; Cyprinodontidae. The record is from RefSeq and is a predicted model, not a curated record. The transcript is spliced from 4 exons.
AAGCAGGAGGGAAGAAAAAAGGGAGGAAGAAAGAAAAUUUCAGCCAUAUAAGCUAUGCUUCCCCCAGCUGAACUGUAUCUACAGUCGAAUAGAAGGGAAUCAAAGAAAAGCAACACUAUAUGGAGACUUGCUCCUCCCGAAAACCUGCCAACCUCCUCUGUCAGCUAUUAGAUAAUCAGAGCUGUUGACUGGGAAAACAGUGAGUGGCCAGGCCUCUUGGAUUGGAGGACAGCUUCAUCUCUGAGAUCAGCAAGGGCAAGAACUCUAGGACCUCUGCUCUAAAGAUCCACAGCUGUGAAGCUUUAAAGGAAGGAGAUGAAGGACCGAAGUCCAAACAACACAUGCCAUCAUCAUGGUGGUUGGAUCAAUGACAUGGGUAUUUGACGCACUAUUACAGGAAAUGCAAACGCAGCAAAAACCCUGCCUGGCUGACUUAAACAGACUAUUCUGGAGUCUGUCUGCAUCAAGAUAUUUUUAGGAGAUAGAUGUGCAAUGGGUGAGUAUACUAUGCGCAGAAAAACUAAAUUUGUUGCUUUUGUUUGGCAUUUAAUGUUUAGUAUUUAGGUUUUGAUCACCUACGUUAAUAUAUCUUUAAUACAUUUUCUAGAAAAAUCUGGAUGCUGUGAUUCUUCAUUGUUCUUUAGGAGCCAUCCGGUUUCUGAAUAUUUACUGGGAAUUUAAAGCAGAGUCCAGCGACAAUAGAAUCAAAUCAAAUUUUUGCCGAUGUAACAUAUUUUUGCCAUUACUAUGCUGAGUCACAGUAAAUGCUCUUAGAAUUAUGAUUGUUACAUAUUUGUUGUACAUUUCACAGCUUUGCAGAGUGGAUGCUAUAUAAAUUAGGGGUAAGUUUUUCUGUCAAAUUGGAUUCAGAAAUUUGUGCAAGCUGUUCACGUUCCUCCAUACCAGGCUGAGUCAUCUAUCACAUCAUGUGCCCUGGUUUUUGCACUGAUCUGCAUCCCUUUAUGUAACUGGAAGGGACAAUCCUAACCUGCCUCUAAUUAUGAGUAUUAAAUUUUCUAAAAUGCAUUCAAUUAAAAGGUUUAUUAGGCCACCUUUUAUUUUUGCAUUAAGGUAAUAUAACUUUACAAUGCAAUCAGAUUAGUGAUGUUCCUUUUUUUAAUGACCACACACAGGCCACUGCCCAUGUGAUGAAUAUUGGAGGUUGAUGAAUAUUUGAUUUGACACAGCUGUUA